RNAcentral lists this small RNA (30 nucleotides) under Bombyx mori (domestic silkworm). RNAcentral describes it as "ovarian small RNA-37620". Lineage: Eukaryota; Metazoa; Arthropoda; Insecta; Lepidoptera; Bombycidae. The record is from RNAcentral.
UUGAAGAAUCCGUUUGGACAUAGUGUCCGC